This 497-nucleotide ribosomal RNA is filed under the name uncultured bacterium. RNAcentral describes it as "partial 16S ribosomal RNA". It matches the Rfam family "Bacterial small subunit ribosomal RNA", at positions 28 to 507 of the family's 1533-position model. The record is from RNAcentral.
GAUGAACGCUGGCGGCGUGCCUAAUACAUGCAAGUCGAGCGAACAGACGAGGAGCUUGCUCCUCUGACGUUAGCGGCGGACGGGAGAGUAACACGUGGAUAACCUACCUAUAAGACUGGGAUAACUUCGGGAAACCGGAGCUAAUACCGGAUAAUAUAUUGAACCGCAUGGUUCAAUAGUGAAAGACGGUUUUGCUGUCACUGAUAGAUGGAUCCGCGCCGCAUUAGCUAGUUGGUAAGGUAACGGCUUACCAAGGCAACGAUGCGUAGCCGACCUGAGAGGGUGAUCGGCCACACUGGAACUGGGCCACGGUCCAGACUCCUACGGGAGGCAGCAGUGGGGAAUCUUCCGCAAUGGGCGAAAGCCUGACGGAGCAACGCCGCGUGAGUGAUGAAGGUCUUCGGAUCGUAAAACUCUGUUAUUAGGGAAGAACAAAUGUGUAAGUAACUAUGCACGUCUUGACGGUACCUAAUCAGAAAGCCACGGCUAACUACGUG